This 253-nucleotide ribosomal RNA is filed under the name uncultured bacterium. RNAcentral's name for it is "partial 16S ribosomal RNA". It matches the Rfam family "Bacterial small subunit ribosomal RNA", at positions 524 to 776 of the family's 1533-position model. The record is from RNAcentral.
UACGUAGGGUGCGAGCGUUAAUCGGAAUUACUGGGCGUAAAGCGUGCGCAGGCGGUGGCUCAAGUCAGAUGUGAAAUCCCUAGGCUUAACCUGGGAAUUGCAUUUGAAACUAGGUCGCUAGAGUUUGGCAGAGGGGGGUGGAAUUCCACGUGUAGCAGUGAAAUGCGUAGAGAUGUGGAGGAACACCGAUGGCGAAGGCAGCCCCCUGGGCCAAUACUGACGCUCAUGCACGAAAGCGUGGGGAGCAAACAGG